RNAcentral lists this ribosomal RNA (273 nucleotides) under Caryophyllia ambrosia. Its description in RNAcentral is "partial 16S ribosomal RNA". It matches the Rfam family "Bacterial large subunit ribosomal RNA", at positions 2050 to 2496 of the family's 2925-position model. The record is from RNAcentral. Lineage: Eukaryota; Metazoa; Cnidaria; Anthozoa; Scleractinia; Caryophylliidae.
GUAGUGAAGAUGCUACAUUAAAGUGGUUAGACGAGAAGUCCCCAUGGAGCUUUACUGAAAGCUUAAAAAAAAAGUUUUUUAUUUAUUUAUAGGCUAGACAGUUUUGUUGGGGUGAUAGUUUUUUAAAAAGUAACGAAAACGAACUAUGACGCAUGUUUCACUCUGAAAACUUGAAGAGACAUUUGGGGUGUGUUUUAUGAUCUAUUGUUUUGAAUGAAAAAGAUAUGAAAGCAGAUAAAGUUACCCUGGGGAACACCUUUCAUACCGGUCAAA